AAACUAACCAGGAUUCCCUCAGUAACUGCGAGUGAAGCGGGAAAAGCUCAGACUGAAAAUCUUCGGAAUUGUAGUCUGGAGAAGUAUGGUCAGCCGAUGGUGAUAAGUGAAGUCUUCUGGAAAGGAGCGCCUUGGAGGGUGAUAGCCCCGUUCAUACUUAUUACUAGAAGCGUACGACCUGCUUUCUACGAGUCGUGUUGUUUGGGACUGCAGCACUAAGUGGGUGGUAAAUUUCAUCUAAAGCUAAAUAUUGGUGGGAGACCGAUAGCGAACAAGUACCGUGAGGGAAAGAUGCAAAGAACUUUGAAAAGAGAGUUAAAUAGUACCUGAAAUUGCUGAAAUGGAACCGAUGGGAAGCAGUGUCGGUGGCGGGUAUUUAUACUUGUCACAAGCCAGGCUUCUUUUCUGGUGCGGGAAAGGCUGAUAAACCAGUUUGGGUUAUCUACGCCGUCGUGCUAGCGAAGGACUCUGACGAAAUGCUUCUCAUCACC
RNAcentral lists this ribosomal RNA (491 nucleotides) under uncultured stramenopile. RNAcentral's name for it is "eukaryotic LSU rRNA". It matches the Rfam family "Eukaryotic large subunit ribosomal RNA", at positions 62 to 648 of the family's 3401-position model. The record is from RNAcentral.